UACGUAGGGUGCAAGCGUUGUCCGGAAUUACUGGGCGUAAAGAGCUCGUAGGCGGUUUGUCACGUCGUCUGUGAAAUCCUCCAGCUCAACUGGGGGCGUGCAGGCGAUACGGGCAGACUUGAGUACUACAGGGGAGACUGGAAUUCCUGGUGUAGCGGUGAAAUGCGCAGAUAUCAGGAGGAACACCGGUGGCGAAGGCGGGUCUCUGGGUAGUAACUGACGCUGAGGAGCGAAAGCAUGGGGAGCAAAC
RNAcentral lists this ribosomal RNA (250 nucleotides) under uncultured bacterium. Its description in RNAcentral is "partial 16S ribosomal RNA". It matches the Rfam family "Bacterial small subunit ribosomal RNA", at positions 524 to 773 of the family's 1533-position model. The record is from RNAcentral. RNAcentral also lists the same sequence under 1 other name.